AUCGAAAGUUGUGAAGUAAUCUGUACUGAUAAAAAAAUUCACAUAACAACUCUCUUCCAAAUUCUUUAAAUUUGGCUCUGGCUCUACCCAUGAAUAGGGUUUAAGAAACAUACUAUGAACAUUCUUUUUCAUUUUCGAAAAGGUUUAGCAGAAAUUCUCCUCAAACCGUCAUAACUUACGGGCACGGAGGGUGAUCAGCCCCGUUGUACCCUGUAUUGAUCAAUACUACAUAACUUGAACGAAAUUCAUCGUUCACUCUGUCCGCCUCGGGCGCAAAAACUUUCCCAUAUAGGGAUGUUCAUACAUGCCUGGUUCCAAACCCGAAGGUUUUUAAUCUUACUCAACAAUAAUAUGUAAUUCAACAUAUAUGUAUACGGGUAAUUGACAAAGGUGUAUCAACAUGUGAAUAAAUGCCAUGAUUAUCCAAGUGGGGACACUUGUAUAACCAUUUAGAAAUCAACGACAGAAUAUAUAUCUGAGCUAACAUGUUGAAAAUCAAAGCGUACAUAAUCUGUACAGGAAUAGAAUAAUUCUGAAACUCUCUUACUCAUGUCCAUUGCAUAAAGAAAAUGCAAAGGUAGGAUACUUGCCUGAUUUGAUGAUUACAAAUCUCAACUUAGGUUUUAUCUCUUUAUCACAACCUAUCAAUAAUCAGAUCAUUCGUUCGAUUA
This 671-nucleotide long non-coding RNA is filed under the name Panax ginseng (ginseng). RNAcentral describes it as "long non-coding RNA (PGIN_LNC009780)". The record is from RNAcentral. Lineage: Eukaryota; Viridiplantae; Streptophyta; Magnoliopsida; Apiales; Araliaceae.